Molecule: ribosomal RNA, 443 nt
Filed under: uncultured bacterium
Lineage: Bacteria
Description: partial 16S ribosomal RNA
Rfam family: Bacterial small subunit ribosomal RNA
Source: RNAcentral
CCUACGGGUGGCAGCAGUGGGGAAUAUUGGGCAAUGGGCGCAAGCCUGACCCAGCAACGCCGCGUGAAGGAAGAAGGCUUUCGGGUUGUAAACUUCUUUUCUCAGGGACGAAGAAAGUGACGGUACCUGAGGAAUAAGCCACGGCUAACUACGUGCCAGCAGCCGCGGUAAUACGUAGGAGGCAAGCGUUAUCCGGAUUUACUGGGUGUAAAGGGCGUGUAGGCGGGACUGCAAGUCAGAUGUGAAAACCACGGGCUCAACCUGUGGACUGCAUUUGAAACUGUAGUUCUAGAGUGCUGGAGAGGCAGAUGGAAUUCCUAGUGUAGCGGUGAAAUGCGUAGAUAUUAGGAGGAACACCAGUGGCGAAGGCGGUCUGCUGGAAAGCAACUGACGCUGAGGCGCGAAAGCGUGGGGAGCAAACAGGAUUAGAUACCCUGGUAGUC